Molecule: non-coding RNA, 211 nt
Organism: Pelobates cultripes (western spadefoot toad)
Lineage: Eukaryota; Metazoa; Chordata; Amphibia; Anura; Pelobatidae
Source: the annotation of a GenBank genome assembly
GUGGGCCACUGCAGGUGCCUCUCCGACGGCGAUGUGUGCUUGGGACAGGCCCAGCCUCUCUGCAAAGCUGCUCGCCUCCGAGAUGUUAUGGAGUGUGUAUAUCUGGUUGUUCCUCCGCACUGUGAGUUUGAAGGGAUGUCCCCAUGAGUAGCGGAUCCGUCUGGGUGAGUGGGCGCAAUUCUCUCUGCUCUCGCAGGGUACUGGGGACCAG